CCUACGGGUGGCUGCAGUGGGGAAUAUUGCACAAUGGGCACAAGCCUGAUGCAGCCAUGCCGCGUGUGUGAAGAAGGCCUUCGGGUUGUAAAGCACUUUCAGCGGGGAGGAAGGCGUUAAGGUUAAUAACCUUGGCGAUUGACGUUACCCGCAGAAGAAGCACCGGCUAACUCCGUGCCAGCAGCCGCGGUAAUACGGAGGGUGCAAGCGUUAAUCGGAAUUACUGGGCGUAAAGCGCACGCAGGCGGUCUGUCAAGUCGGAUGUGAAAUCCCCGGGCUCAACCUGGGAACUGCAUUCGAAACUGGCAGGCUAGAGUCUUGUAGAGGGGGGUAGAAUUCCAGGUGUAGCGGUGAAAUGCGUAGAGAUCUGGAGGAAUACCGGUGGCGAAGGCGGCCCCCUGGACAAAGACUGACGCUCAGGUGCGAAAGCGUGGGGAGCAAACAGGAUUAGAUACCCUUGUAGUC
RNAcentral lists this ribosomal RNA (465 nucleotides) under uncultured Klebsiella sp. Its description in RNAcentral is "bacterial SSU rRNA". It matches the Rfam family "Bacterial small subunit ribosomal RNA", at positions 338 to 795 of the family's 1533-position model. The record is from RNAcentral. Lineage: Bacteria; Pseudomonadati; Pseudomonadota; Gammaproteobacteria; Enterobacterales; Enterobacteriaceae.